This is a non-coding RNA of Xyrichtys novacula (pearly razorfish), 2730 nucleotides long. The record is from the annotation of a GenBank genome assembly. NCBI's taxonomy places the organism in Eukaryota, Metazoa, Chordata, Actinopteri, Labriformes, Labridae.
UGCGGCCGACGUUGGAUGUACUUGCGGUGCUGAUGGGAGCUAAUCCAGGCUGACGAGGUGUGCAGCUCCUUAACCACCCUCCGACUCUCCUGGAGCUUUUUGGCAGCAGUCUGGGCGGUGGAGAAAUCAUUUCCCUGCUGGAGCCAGAGCUUCCAUUUUAUCAGCCAUGCUAUGAAAUUAACCCGAUAAUUGUGCUGGAUCUGCCUUUUCUCUCUAAGUGCUCAUUCAAUCUUGAGAAGAAGCAACUUUUUUGGCAGUUUGGGACUUGGGUCUCCAGAAAACUGCAGCAUUUACCAAAUGUUACAUAAGUUUUACCGUCUCUCUCUCGCAGAAGCCCUCUGCAGGGAAGAGUGCUUGUCCCAGCAGCAAUCAUAAAGUAUUUUACUACAAGCUGUAUCAUCAGCUCUCUUUUGUCACUGUUUACAGCCGCCUCUUUAAACCAGAGAUGAUAAAUGCAGGUUUCUGCUGGGUUUACAGUAAAAAUUAAGUUACUAUGUUUUGUUGUUCAAGAGAGAAAGUGCUUCUCUGGUGAAGUGUCCGACUACAGAGCGUUUCCGUAUGUUUGAAAACUGGCACUAAGAUGUGUAAUUGGUAGCAGGAGUGUCUGCUAGCACACUAGGCCUUGAGAGCGCACUUGAAAAGUCAGAGACCGGCAUCAUAUUUGAUUUCAUUCAGAUAAUGAGGGAAAAUUAGUCCUCCUCGAGGCAGAAUCUUCAGAGUUAACUCUUGAUAUGUCGAUGAAAAAAUAAGUUUUAUUUUGUUAAUUUGGAGGAUUCACUACAAGAACUACUAAAAUCACUGAAGUGGAGAGUCAGAAACUAGCAAUCGGACUUAAUUCAAGGUCUGUUUAUCCACACUCCUGGAGGUUUAAGUAUCUUACGCAAAAGAAACCUCGUCAUAAAUCACACUCGAACACAAUUAUAACAAAAAAAUGUCACGAAGUAAAACUUAAGGGCUCUUCAGAUGAAUGAGUGCCUCUUACUCCAGCAUUUCCUUGAGAGAGGGUGAUUUUUAAUGAACCGCCUAUUACAGUCGGUGCGCUGAGCUCACAAACUAAUUGUCGGUGGUGGGAAACAACACAGAAACAGAUGUGGUUUCAAUCAUCCUAGUCCAAUACACACCUGCACUUAUCCAUUAUCACCAUAUGUUACUAAAAACACAGAAACAGGUAUCUCUAAACAGAUUUUGUUGUCCUAUAUUCUGGUCAAUACGGUAAAAAAAGAAGUCUCAGCAAUACUUCAUGAAAAAGCAUCAUCUUUGUUAAAAUGCAUUAAUUGUUGGACAUUUUACAUGCGCUUGAAAUUUGGUAGUAAUCAAACAGGCUGUAAAGGUCCUUACACACCGGGGCCGACGCGAGUAUAGAACGCGAAAUCACGAAAUAUUCAGAGGCGAAUUCUGACGCGCCUGACUAUACACACCAAGCCCCGGGGAAGACUUUUCCGGGGGAAAGUCCCGCCUCCUUCGCCUCUGAUUGGCUAGAAAAGUCGGAAACGUCAUCACACGCUCAAGCCAAAUGCAGAGCAGUGGAUUAAACACUGGCUGUUGCUGCGUCCGAAUUGCCCGCUCGGAUACUACAUGCUACUGCUACAUACUACUGCUAGAUCCUACUCCUACAUACUAAACACGUUGGCCCAAUUUGGACACACUAGACGAGCGGUGGGGAAAGACGACCCCCGCAGGCAGAGAGUAGGUACUGCGCCCGUGCAGACAGUGGUAACUGAAGCCCCUCAUCUGCUGGCCUGGCUGUAGUACUGCAGCUGUGCAGUUUAAUGAUGGAAUAAGUGAGCUUUACCUCCAUGAUGUCGACACAUAUUUGCUCAUAAAAUGAUUACUUGGGCAAAUAUGACACCAUGACAUGACAAAGAGAUACAACCGCACAUUUUUUAGGACAGUGACAGAUACUAAACUCACUAAAAUCUGUAAACCGAACAUUCUAGAUUUAGAGACGAACUGAUCCGCUCUGCUUCAACUAUCAAAAACAUUCGAAAUAAGAAAGCUGACAAAACUACAGCAGAGGAUCAGGACAACAUUGAGGUUUUUUUUUCUUUUAAGAUUUAGAGAUUAAAGUUGUAAAUUUAGGAGAAUAAAGUCAUAAAGUAAAUAAAGUCAUAAAGCUGCUUUUGUGGAGGGGGAAAUGACUGAAGCUGGUCAUCUGCAGGGUUAUCCGUGGAUGUAUCAGCGGGUCAUUCAGAGAGAUUUUGUGGUUUCUGAAGAAACAAUCAAACUGAUGAUGAUCAACAUUUGUGAUCCAGAGGGAGUCGAGCUCCGACGAGCACCACGUCUCUGACACCGGCGGUAACCUACACCUGCAGAGACACCAACACCUUAUUAUGGCAUAUGGAUUCAUAUCAUAAACUAAAGCUCAAUGUCAUUCACGGAUAUUUACGGCUGCAUUGACAGAUAUAUCCUCAGCAUAUUCAUUUCUGCCUCCACAAAAGCAGCGAUUUCCUUCAAGUACACCAGUUUUUUUCCCCGUGGAAAAGACGUAUUUCUCAUAUAUUCUUUUUUUAAGUCUUUAUACUUAUGACAAUGUGAUGCUGAUGUGCCAGAGGAUGAAGUAUCUCCUUGUUUGUGAAACCUAUACUGAAGCACAGUUCCUUCGAAUGCUUCAUGGCCCUAAUUUUAACAAAGUCUCCUCUGAAAGGAGAGAGAGAGACGAAUACUGAAAGCAGGACCCAGUUUCAACUCAAAAGUUCAACUGUUGAUGAAAGUGAGAUUAAGUUUCAUCCC